CCUGAGAAGCAAUGUUGUAAGAUGAUGACAAGAAGGUGUCUCACGGGGAGAUUCGAUGCAAGGACCACACAACGAUAUCCUCUCUGCGCUAAUCCAUGUUGAAAGCUGUGGUGUUUUUUCCUGUACCAACACUUUGUCCUUUGCCUUCCCCUCCUCACAAGCUAGCCACAAGGUCAUUGCUUUAAUCACAUCAUGCAUUUUAACAAAAUCUUCUGAUUUACCAGUCUCCAACAAACU
RNAcentral lists this unclassified non-coding RNA (237 nucleotides) under Hevea brasiliensis (rubber tree). Lineage: Eukaryota; Viridiplantae; Streptophyta; Magnoliopsida; Malpighiales; Euphorbiaceae. The record is from RNAcentral.